Manis pentadactyla (Chinese pangolin) is the source of this 1974-nucleotide long non-coding RNA. RefSeq lists it as uncharacterized. The transcript is spliced from 2 exons. Lineage: Eukaryota; Metazoa; Chordata; Mammalia; Pholidota; Manidae. The record is from RefSeq and is a predicted model, not a curated record.
AGCCCUGCCCCCUUCCGCCCUUCCCCUUCCAUCCCCUCCCCUCCCCUUUCUCCUCCCACCCGUCCUUCCCACUCCGGCACACCUCUCCCUUCCUCACUGAGUGACCUGGGAGCGCACCAGUCACAAAGAAGGUAGAGCAUCUGAUUGAUCUACUGUGGGAUAUGUGUCCAGCCCUUUGCAAGAAGAGAAUAGAGCACCUAGACAGGUUGCCCUACCGGGACUGCAGACCCGAGGUGAAUCAUGGGGCAGAGGGAAGCAAGACCAACCCCAGACACUAACCAGGAGUAGAGCUUUAGCCUUCCAAUAUUGACUUGGGAACUCAGUGGGUCUGAACUUUUAGGUGACGGUGUUGGGACAAACUUCAUCCCCAUAGAUAUUUUCAGCUGGGGUGGCAAUUGAGGUGGAGACUGCAGAAAAGGAAUCAAGGACGUGAACAGCUUACCACUGUGUAUAAAAGGGAAUACUUACUUAUUCCUCACCUUGGCCAGGAACUGACUCCUGUUAUGAAAUUAAUGCUUAUUUGCAGACUAUAUGUGACACCGAUAAUUUUUCUUCUGAGCUUUUAUAGACUUAAGUUUAAGAGAUUUUAUAUCACUUAAUGCAACUGCCUUUUAAUGCAUUUUAGUUUAGUGCUUGCAAAUGAUGUAACCUGUUGGACUGUCCAAGGACAGAUUAUUUUAAGAUUUCAAUGGAGGAAUUCAAGCCAAGUUCAAAUUCAAAUUAAGGGUGACACCAUCUCUGUCACUGGGAAAUGUACAUCGACAGUGCAAGGGAUUUUUAAACUACAGUGUAAGUAGAAAAAAAUUUCAGGAAGCAGACUCUGAGAUAGAGAUUAGGAUGCAGGAGAUUUAUUAAGAAAGUUCUUAAGUAUGACGCCUGCAAAAGGGAAGGGAAGGAAGCGGAAGUGUGCAGAGGGAGAAAGCAGACUGUGGUGCAGUCCAGCGUGUCUCAACCACCUCUGGGGAUCUCUGAAGCUGGAAUGGCCCUUCUGAGUUGCCUGACUUGGAUGAAGGGGGCUUGGUCUUUGUGCCUCCAUGUUAACAAGUUAUUGGAUGUGUGGGCUGCCCUGGAAAGGUGACCCGACAGCCAAGGCAAUUCACAAAGGCUGAUGGCUGAUGUCUGUCUGCCAACAGCAUUCUCAGAUGUUGGGGAUAUGGGCAUUAUGUCAGUAUCCUGUGAACAGCAGUAGUGUCCCCAGUCAUUCUGGGAGCAAGUGGGGGCACCAUCACUCAGAAACGUAAAGCAAGAUGUCAGAAAAAGCCUGGACAAGUAACCGUAACCAUGGCAACAGUUUCAGAACUUCAAAGUUAAAACAGUCACAGAGGAAGAGUGUUGGCAUCCUUUGUUCUUGCAUUGUUCUAGAAGACUCCAAGUGGAAAACAGUGGUAGCCAUAGUUAUAAUUUCAUGUAAGAACUUGGUGCCAAAUAACAAAUGUCGCUUUGUAGGGUCUAAGACUGGAGUGCCUGAGGAAACAAAAGUUACCAAAAAAGUCACAAUGCAGGGUAAUACUAUCAAUUGAUUUUAAAUGAUGGGAAAGAAUAUUUAGUUUGCCAUUUAUUGAGUGAAAAUAAACAAAACCUCCUUUAUUAAGCAUAAAUUCACCCCAGAGCUCUUAAGUCAAAUAAAAUUGGGCAGAAAGAUUUUUAUCUUGCCUUGAGAAACUCAGGUAAGAACAAAAUUUUAAUAGUAAAGGUAUAUGCACUAUAUUUUCAACAACUUGAAAACAACAGGUAAAAAAAAUAGACAUUUAGUAAAAUGUGCUGACGAUGUAACUAUUCUAAAGUAUCAUUUAAACAUAUGAAUAUUGUACUUUAUAUCUCAGUUUAUCUAAGUAAAUCAAAAGACAUGUCAUUUUACACUAUGUUAGAAGAGACAAUCCAUUCCUCUCAUCCUGUUGGUGAUCUAUUUUUUUAAUGUACAAAAAUCCUUCUAAUCCAUGUAAGCAGAUCUUUAAAAUAAAAGCCAAACACUGA